Molecule: unclassified non-coding RNA, 243 nt
Filed under: Hevea brasiliensis (rubber tree)
Lineage: Eukaryota; Viridiplantae; Streptophyta; Magnoliopsida; Malpighiales; Euphorbiaceae
Source: RNAcentral
GAAGAACCAGCACCUGCCAACAUCAAAGAGGGGAAGACCAUUGUGGUUGGAGGGUCUGAGGGUAACGCUAAGAAACCUUGCUGCUCUUCAUCCUAGAAAAUUUGUAUUUACAUCAAUUUACACCCCUUAAUGGGAUUGCUGCCUCGGCUUCUUAUUGAUUCUUUUUAUGUUCGAACUUUCGAACUGUGUUGUCGGAUUAUUUAUUAUUUCGCAUGAGAUGUCCUAUAGUUUUUUAUGCUUUUA